This 746-nucleotide ribosomal RNA is filed under the name Sphingomonas sp. Ant20. Its description in RNAcentral is "bacterial SSU rRNA". It matches the Rfam family "Bacterial small subunit ribosomal RNA", at positions 8 to 802 of the family's 1533-position model. The record is from RNAcentral. Lineage: Bacteria; Pseudomonadati; Pseudomonadota; Alphaproteobacteria; Sphingomonadales; Sphingomonadaceae.
AGAGUUUGAUCAUGGCUCAGAAUGAACGCUGGCGGCAUGCCUAACACAUGCAAGUCGAACGAAGCCUUCGGGUUUAGUGGCGCACGGGUGCGUAACGCGUGGGAAUCUGCCCCUUGGUUCGGAAUAACAGUUGGAAACGACUGCUAAUACCGGAUGAUGACGUAAGUCCAAAGAUUUAUCGCCGAGGGAUGAGCCCGCGUAGGAUUAGGUAGUUGGUGUGGUAAAGGCGCACCAAGCCGACGAUCCUUAGCUGGUCUGAGAGGAUGAUCAGCCACACUGGGACUGAGACACGGCCCAGACUCCUACGGGAGGCAGCAGUGGGGAAUAUUGGACAAUGGGCGAAAGCCUGAUCCAGCAAUGCCGCGUGAGUGAUGAAGGCUUAGGGUUGUAAAGCUCUUUUACCCGGGAUGAUAAUGACAGUACCGGGAGAAUAAGCUCCGGCUAACUCCGUGCCAGCAGCCGCGGUAAUACGGAGGGAGCUAGCGUUAUUCGGAAUUACUGGGCGUAAAGCGCACGUAGGCGGCUUUGUAAGUAAGAGGUGAAAGCCCAGAGCUCAACUCUGGAAUUGCCUUUUAGACUGCAUCGCUUGAAUCAUGGAGAGGUCAGUGGAAUUCCGAGUGUAGAGGUGAAAUUCGUAGAUAUUCGGAAGAACACCAGUGGCGAAGGCGGCUGACUGGACAUGUAUUGACGCUGAGGUGCGAAAGCGUGGGAGCAAACAGGAUUAGAUACCCUGGUAGUCCACGCCU